RNAcentral lists this unclassified non-coding RNA (1866 nucleotides) under Hevea brasiliensis (rubber tree). The record is from RNAcentral. Lineage: Eukaryota; Viridiplantae; Streptophyta; Magnoliopsida; Malpighiales; Euphorbiaceae.
UUUCAGCCUGGUGCUGGUCACGUGGGCAUUUCAUUUAUACCUCUUCACAGAGGGAAAGCUAACGGUUCUGAAGUACAGGAUCCAUCACAAAGUCUGAGUUCUGUCUCUGGUACGAAGAAUAGAAUCUUGUGUAAGCUUGAACCUUCCUUUCAGUUUUCCAACUCAGCAAUGGAGAGCGCAACUAAGUGGAACCCUGUCUGCUUGGAAACAUUAGAUGAGGCUCGCCAGAUUUACAGCCACAUGAAGCGUCUUGAUCAACAAGUUACCGCUGUAUCAGUAGUUUCUGCACUUGAAGCUGAGCUAGAGCAGGCCCGUACACACAUUCAGGAGCUUGAGGCUGAGCGCCGAUCCUCAAAAAAGAAACUGGAGCACUUUUUGAACAAAGUCAGUGAAGAAAAGGCUGCUUGGAGGAGCAGAGAGCAUGAGAAAAUUCGUGCAUUUAUUGGUGACAUUAAAGCUGAUUUGAACCGCGAAAGGAAAAAUAACCAAAGGUUGGAAAUUGUAAAUUCCAAAUUGGUUAAUGAGCUGGCUGAUGCGAAGGUUUCGGCAAAGCGAUUUAUGCUGGAUUAUGAAAAAGAAAGAAAGGCCAGAGAAUUGGUUGAGGAAGUAUGCGAUGAGCUUGCUAAGGAAAUUGGAGAGGACAAGGCUGAAGUUGAAGCAUUAAAGAGGGAAUCAUUGAAACUGCGGGAGGAAGUGGAUGAGGAAAGGAAGAUGUUGCAGAUGGCUGAGGUAUGGCGUGAAGAGCGUGUUCAAAUGAAGCUGGUUGAUGCAAAGGUGGCACUUGAAGAGAAGUAUUCUCAAAUGAACAAGCUUGUAGCAGAUUUAGAAAAUUUUCUAAGAUCUAGAGGUGCAGCCCCAGAUUUGAAGGAAAUGAGAGAAGCAGAAUCACUUAUACAUGCUGCUGCCUCUUUUAGCAUUCAGGACAUAAAGGACUUCAAAUAUGUGCCACCUAACCCAGAUGAUAUUUUCUCUGUUUUUGAAGAAGUUAAUUCUGGUGAACCUAAUGAGAGGGAGAUUGAGCAAUGUGUUGCUUACAGUCCUGCCAGCCAUGCCUCAAAAAUUCAUACCGUGAGUCCUGAAGUGAACAUGAUAAACAAGGAUGGCAGCCAUAAGCAUUCUGAUGUAUUUGUUGACCGGAAUGGCGAUAUAGAAGAUGAUGAGAGUGGGUGGGAAACUGUGAGCCAUCUUGAGGAUCAAGGGUCAAGUUACUCACCAGAAGGGAGUGUCCCAUCUUUCAACAAGAAUCCCCGGGAUAGCAAUGUCUCAGGGAGUGGAACAGAAUGGGAAGAUAAUACAUUUGAUGAAACCCCAUUUACUGAAAUCAGCGAACUCUGUUCUGUGCCAACAAGACAGCCAAAGAAGGUUUCAUCCAUUGUGAAGCUAUGGAGAUCGUGCCCAAACAAUGGGGAUAACUGCAAAAUAAUCUCAGUAGAUGGGAUGAACAGUAGGCCUGCUAACGGAAGGAAAUCUAAUGGGGGCAUUAUGUCUCCUGAUAGAGGGUCAGCUAAAGGUGUACUCAGCCCAGAUUUUGUUGGGCAGUGGAGUUCAUCUGACUCAGGUAACCCUCACAUAGGUCGAGGAAUGAAAGGUUGUAUUGAAUGGCCACGUGGAGCGCAGAAGAACAGCUUGAAAGCAAAGCUUAUGGAGGCAAGGAUGGAGAGCCAGAAAGUCCAAUUGCGCCAUGUUCUUAAACAGAAGAUCUAGAUGUAGUAAUUGCAGAGAAAGCCAGAUGGAAAUAAGUAGUGUCAUAUCCGACCAUGCAGGAGGUAGCCCUUUUUCUUGAUGUAAAUGCUCAAAAAGGAUAAAAAUGUAUCAUCGGCUUCAUGGACUGAAGCCCCAUUUGGUAUACACGUAAUGCUUUUUUGC